GGAUGCGGUCAUACCAGAACUAACGUACCAGAUCCCAUCAGAUCUUCGAAGUUAAGUGUGUUUGGGCGUGAGUAGUACUAGGAUGGGUGAUCCCCUGGGAAGUCCUCGUGUUGCAUCCC
Capsicum annuum is the source of this 119-nucleotide ribosomal RNA. NCBI's taxonomy places the organism in Eukaryota, Viridiplantae, Streptophyta, Magnoliopsida, Solanales, Solanaceae. The record is from RefSeq and is a predicted model, not a curated record.